AGGACGAACGCUGGCGGCGUGCCUAACACAUGCAAGUGGAGCGACGAACCAGGCUUCGGCCUGGGGCUAAGCCGCGAACGGGUGAGUAACACGUGGGUAACCUGCCCCGAUGAUUGGGACAACCCGAGGAAACUCGGGCUAAUACCGAAUGUGCCCUCCGGCCAUAAGGCCGCUGGGGAAAGGAAGCUUCGGCCUCCGCAUCGGGAUGGGCCCGCGGCCCAUUAGCUUGUUGGUGAGGUAACGGCUCACCAAGGCUGCGAUGGGUAGCUGGUCUGAGAGGACGAUCAGCCACACUGGGACUGAGACACGGCCCAGACUCCUACGGGAGGCAGCAGUGGGGGAAUCUUGCGCAAUGCGCGAAAGCGUGACGCAGCAACGCCGCGUGGGGAAGAAGGCCUUCGGGUUGUAACCGCUUUCGAGGAGGGACGAAGCUACCUGGGUUAAUAGCCCGUGGGGUGACGGUACCUUCAGAAGAAGCCCGGCUAACUACGCGCCAGCAGCCGCGGU
This 507-nucleotide ribosomal RNA is filed under the name uncultured bacterium. Its description in RNAcentral is "SSU rRNA". It matches the Rfam family "Bacterial small subunit ribosomal RNA", at positions 26 to 521 of the family's 1533-position model. The record is from RNAcentral.